Long non-coding RNA from Mustela erminea (ermine), 1109 nucleotides. RefSeq lists it as uncharacterized. The record is from RefSeq and is a predicted model, not a curated record. The transcript has 3 exons. Lineage: Eukaryota; Metazoa; Chordata; Mammalia; Carnivora; Mustelidae.
CAGAGAGCCUGUGUGUGCGGAAACCCUGCACGCCCCCCUGCACACACCUCUUCUGAUGAAAGAUGACGUCAGCUCCGUAGACGGCUCCAGAUCAAGCAUUCUGGCAAGAGAAACCUGAAAUGUACAAUCAAAUGAAUUAUUCCAGUCCAUGUGGAGCAGAGAGCAAGGCAGGAUGGGAAACUGUUUGCUGACCCCUGACGUAGACACUCUUGACUUCGUAUGUGUUGGAAGACAGUCAGAGGUCCUCAAAUGAAGAAGGCCCAGGCACAGAGCCAAUAAUCUACAAAGAUCUGGGUACAUUAUAAAUGAAACAAAGAAAGCAUUUAGGGGUUGGUCAGCUACCAUGUCAGACUAUCUCCCAGUAAAACCUGGCACAUGAACAAAAUAAGGUACCUCUUUUUCAACACAUCUGUAUUAGUUCCUUAGAGCUGCUAUAACAAAAUACCACAACUGGAGGCUUAAAACUACAGAAACUUUUACUCCCCUGGUAGUGGAGACCAAAAGUCUGAAAUCAAGCCAUCCCAUUUUGGCUCUUUCUAGCUUCUGGUGGUUGCCAGUAAUCCUCAGCAUUUUUUGGUGUGUAGCUUCAUCACUCCUGUUUCUAUGUCUGUUGUGACAUAGAAUCUUCCCUGUGCUUCAGUAUCCCCAUCUUCUCUUUUUAUAAGGAUAUCAGUCAUGUAGGAUUUAGGGUGCACUCCAAUCCAGUAUGGUUUCAUCUUGUCUUAACUGAUUACAUCUGCCAAGACCCUAUUUUCAGAAGAGGUCACAUUCUGAGGUUUAAGUGGACAUAAAUUUGGCAGGGGUGGGGGGUACAUUUCAAUUCAGUUUGCUUUAGCAGUAAAAGGAGGAAGUGAUCAGAGUGGUUCUUGGCUAGAAAUCUUCAGGAUAUGAAGAAUAAUACUCCUUCUCCCUAAGGCAUUCACAUUCUAAUCUCUGCAAUAUGUGAAUAUAUUGCUUUAUAUGUCAAAAAGGACUUUGCUGAUGUAAUUAAGCUGAGAAUUUUAAGAUGUGGAUAUUAUGCUUGAUGAUCGAGAAUGCACAGUGUGGUCACAAGGGGCUCUAUAAGAGGGAGACAGGAGAGUCAACGGCAGAAGGAGAUGGAAUGACAG